UGGCGCACGGGUGAGUAACACGUGAGUAACCUGCCCCCGAGAGCGGGAUAGCCCUGGGAAACUGGGAUUAAUACCGCAUAGUAUCGAAAGAUUAAAGCAGCAAUGCGCUUGGGGAUGGGCUCGCGGCCUAUUAGUUAGUUGGUGAGGUAACGGCUCACCAAGGCGAUGACGGGUAGCCGGUCUGAGAGGAUGUCCGGCCACACUGGAACUGAGACACGGCCCAGACUCCUACGGAAGGCAGCAG
RNAcentral lists this ribosomal RNA (244 nucleotides) under uncultured bacterium. Its description in RNAcentral is "partial 16S ribosomal RNA". It matches the Rfam family "Bacterial small subunit ribosomal RNA", at positions 96 to 354 of the family's 1533-position model. The record is from RNAcentral.